CUGGGUUCAGAACGUCGUGAGACAGUUCGGUCCCUAUCUGCCAUGGGUGUAGAAGAAUUGAGAGGAGUUGCCCCUAGUACGAGAGGACCGGGGUGAACAUACCACUGGUGGACCGGUUGUAGCGCCAGCUGCAGUGCAGGGUAGCUAUGUACGGACAGGAUAACCGCUGAAAGCAUCUAAGCGGGAAGCCUCCCUCGAAACUAGUUCUCCCUUGAGAGUCGUGGAAGACUACCACGUUGAUAGGCCAGGUGUGGAAGUGUGGUAACACAUGGAGCUGACUGGUACUAAUAACUCGAUUGGCUUGAUCAU
RNAcentral lists this ribosomal RNA (309 nucleotides) under Verrucomicrobiota bacterium. RNAcentral's name for it is "partial 23S ribosomal RNA". It matches the Rfam family "Bacterial large subunit ribosomal RNA", at positions 2605 to 2925 of the family's 2925-position model. Lineage: Bacteria; Pseudomonadati; Verrucomicrobiota. The record is from RNAcentral.